UGGGGAAUAUUGCACAAUGGGGGAAACCCUGAUGCAGCGACGCCGCGUGAGCGAAGAAGGUUUUCGAAUCGUAAAGCUCUGUCCUAUGGGAAGAUAAUGACGGUACCAUAGGAGGAAGCCCCGGCUAACUACGUGCCAGCAGCCGCGGUAAUACGUAGGGGGCAAGCGUUGUCCGGAAUCACUGGGCGUAAAGGGUUCGCAGGCGGAAAUGCAAGUCAGUUGUGAAAGGCAGAGGCUCAACCUCUGUAAGCAAUUGAAACUGUAUUUCUUGAGAUGUGGAGAGGCAAGUGGAAUUCCUAGUGUAGCGGUGAAAUGCGUAGAUAUUAGGAAGAAUACCGGUGGCGAAGGCGACUUGCUGGACACAAACUGACGCUGAGGAACGAAAGCGUGGGUUGCAAACAGG
Molecule: ribosomal RNA, 403 nt
Filed under: Fusobacteriota bacterium
Lineage: Bacteria; Fusobacteriati; Fusobacteriota
Description: Fusobacteria bacterium partial 16S ribosomal RNA
Rfam family: Bacterial small subunit ribosomal RNA
Source: RNAcentral